This 401-nucleotide ribosomal RNA is filed under the name uncultured bacterium. Its description in RNAcentral is "partial 16S ribosomal RNA". It matches the Rfam family "Bacterial small subunit ribosomal RNA", at positions 355 to 770 of the family's 1533-position model. The record is from RNAcentral.
UGGGGAAUAUUGCACAAUGGGCGAAAGCCUGAUGCAGCGACGCCGCGUGAGGGAUGACGGCCUUCGGGUUGUAAACCUCUUUCAGCAGGGAAGAAGCGAAAGUACGGUACCUGCAGAAGAAGCGCCGGCUAACUACGUGCCAGCAGCCGCGGUAAUACGUAGGGCGCAAGCGUUGUCCGGAAUUAUUGGGCGUAAAGAGCUCGUAGGCGGUUAGUCGCGUCUGCUGUGAAAACUCGAGGCUCAACCUCGGGCUUGCAGUGGGUACGGGCUGACUAGAUGCGGUAGGGGUGACUGGAAUUCCUGGUGUAGCGGUGGAAUGCGCAGAUAUCAGGAGGAACACCGAUGGCGAAGGCAGGUCACUGGGCCGCAACUGACGCUGAGGAGCGAAAGCAUGGGGAGCG